Molecule: long non-coding RNA, 220 nt
Organism: Mercurialis annua (annual mercury)
Lineage: Eukaryota; Viridiplantae; Streptophyta; Magnoliopsida; Malpighiales; Euphorbiaceae
Exons: 3
Source: RefSeq, a predicted model, not a curated record
GCCCUUUGAACCUUGGGUUAAUACAUCAAUUAUAAUCUUGUCCAUCAUUCUUAGACCCGUCGAAUGCUCGUGCUUCGGAGUCUACGCAGGGUUAGCUGUUUGCCAAGAUUUCACGUGGAUAAGCAAGCAGUUUAUGAUUUGAAAGCUGGUCCACUCCGAUUCUUGAUUCUUGGAGGUUUUUAUGUCAAUAAAACUAGUCUGUUGUUUUAAACUCUUAGAC